UUAGACCCUGCAGUGGUGCCAUUAUGGUCCUGCUUUUCGCAAACGUUGUUGGUCUAUAUUGGAUGGGGGUAAUCAGUGCGAUUCUGAUGGGACUAGG
Molecule: transfer RNA, 97 nt
Filed under: Vibrio mediterranei
Lineage: Bacteria; Pseudomonadati; Pseudomonadota; Gammaproteobacteria; Vibrionales; Vibrionaceae
Description: tRNA-Ala
Source: RNAcentral